Gallus gallus (chicken) is the source of this 1245-nucleotide long non-coding RNA. RefSeq lists it as uncharacterized. The transcript is spliced from 3 exons. NCBI's taxonomy places the organism in Eukaryota, Metazoa, Chordata, Aves, Galliformes, Phasianidae. The record is from RefSeq and is a predicted model, not a curated record.
CCCCACUUCCAGGAGCCCGCUGCCAGCUGGAGGCUGAAACCCCAGCGAGGGGCCAGGCUGCUGUGCGGCCACCCAGAGCCCUCCAACUCACCAUGUCUGCGGCAGCAACCGAGAGAGGACGGAACAGGAUGAGGUGGACCUGCACCAGGCAGAGUGGGACCAAGCCUCUGGUGUUGCUGUAUAAGCAGAAGUGAGCUGGCUGAGAACUGGAGACCGCCGCUGCGAGGGGAAGGACACAGCCUUGAACGCAGGGGCGACGCUUUACAUUGCAGAGGACAUGGGUACAAGUGACACAGGGGAAUGAGGAUUGCAAUCAGUUCUGCAGCUCUCCUGGGAGCUGGACAAUCCCGGCAAUAAACCUGUUUUGCCUUGCUGGUAUCUUCCAAGGCCAGCUCCUGGGCAGGCAUUGGCAUGCUGCGGGGCACGUGGUCCUCACAGGGAUCCUGCAGGCUCCUCCGGCGUUGCGAGGCUGAGUGGGGUGCUCCCCUGCCACUUGGGAAGAGCCCCUCGCCGUGCACGCUGCUCUUGUUUUUGGCAGAGGCACUAUCCCUGUGUUGUACAGCCCUCUCCUUUUGCAAUGUUCCCUGCAAACCGCAGAGGAACCAACUCACCCUGACGCAGCCUGUCUGGAGCAGCUGCCGCUGGCGAUACCGCAGGCACCUUCCUGGGCACCUCCUGCAGCCCCCGGGGCAUGGAGACAUGGGGUACCCCCAAAGGAUGCAGCCCUGCUCCCACCGCCCCCCCUCUCCCCCCAUGCCACCCCAUUUCCAGGCCCUGCACUGAGCCAGGAUGCUUUGAAGGCACCUCCUGGGCAUGGACUGGGGAUGGGUCCCCCUCCACAGUGCCACCAACGGGGGCUUUUUGUCCCCAAAGUGGUCCCGAGCUGGGAGGCGCCUCCGAGUGCAUCUCGCCUCGGUGCCCCUGCAGUGUGGCACACAGCACAGUCUUUCUCAGAAUCUGGAAGUGAUAACAGUCUGGCCGCAGGAAGACGUGUUUACUCAAAUAUCACCGCAACCAGGGCAUGGUGAGAUGGUGGCACUGAUUUGCUGAGCCAGGAUGGGGAUGCUCCCAAACAUCCCAGGCACGCCCCUGGUGGAACAACCCUGCCUGCAAGAUCUGGCUCUGCAGCCAUGCGGCUCUGCAAAGAGCCAUGCAGACAAGCGGAUGAACGCACUCAGCCGUGAGAGCCCUGCCUCGGGUCGGUCCCAUCGCCACGGAGCAAACAAUGUCCCAUCCUCCUGCCAG